RNAcentral lists this unclassified non-coding RNA (207 nucleotides) under soil metagenome. Its description in RNAcentral is "partial contains 5.8S ribosomal RNA, internal transcribed spacer 2, and large subunit ribosomal RNA". The record is from RNAcentral.
AACAUCGCGCACCUGCGGGAACCUGCGGAGGGAUCAUUACCGAGUUUACAACUCCCAAACCCCUGUGAACAUACCUAUACGUUGCCUCGGCGGAUCAGCCCGCGCCCCGUAAAAAGGGACGGCCCGCCCGAGGACCCCUAAACUCUGUUUUUAGUGGAACUUCUGAGUAAAACAAACAAAUAAAUCAAAACUUUUAGCAACGGAUCU